RNAcentral lists this ribosomal RNA (548 nucleotides) under uncultured bacterium. Its description in RNAcentral is "bacterial SSU rRNA". It matches the Rfam family "Bacterial small subunit ribosomal RNA", at positions 355 to 895 of the family's 1533-position model. The record is from RNAcentral.
UAGGGAAUCUUCGGCAAUGGGGGCAACCCUGACCGAGCAACGCCGCGUGAGUGAAGAAGGUUUUCGGAUCGUAAAGCUCUGUUGUAAGUCAAGAACGAGUGUGAGAGUGGAAAGUUCACACUGUGACGGUAGCUUACCAGAAAGGGACGGCUAACUACGUGCCAGCAGCCGCGGUAAUACGUAGGUCCCGAGCGUUGUCCGGAUUUAUUGGGCGUAAAGCGAGCGCAGGCGGUUUGAUAAGUCUGAAGUUAAAGGCUGUGGCUCAACCAUAGUUCGCUUUGGAAACUGUCAAACUUGAGUGCAGAAGGGGAGAGUGGAAUUCCAUGUGUAGCGGUGAAAUGCGUAGAUAUAUGGAGGAACACCGGUGGCGAAAGCGGCUCUCUGGUCUGUAACUGACGCUGAGGCUCGAAAGCGUGGGGAGCGAACAGGAUUAGAUACCCUGGUAGUCCACGCCGCNNCGAUGAGUGCUAGGUGUUGGAUCCUUUCCGGGAUUCAGUGCCGCAGCUAACGCAUUAAGCACUCCGCCUGGGGAGUACGACCGCAAGGUU